CAGUCGCCACGGUAAUACGAAGGGUGCAAGCGUUACUCGGAAUUACUGGGCGUAAAGCGUGCGUAGGUGGUGGUUUAAGUCCGUUGUGAAAGCCCUGGGCUCAACCUGGGAAUUGCAGUGGAUACUGGGUCACUAGAGUGUGGUAGAGGAUAGUGGAAUUUCCGGUGUAGCAGUGAAAUGCGUAGAGAUCGGAAGGAACAUCUGUGGCGAAGGCGACUAUCUGGGCCAACACUGACACUGAGGCACGAAAGCGUGGGGAGCAAACAAGAUUAGAUACCCCUGUAGUCCCUGUCUCUUAUAC
RNAcentral lists this ribosomal RNA (301 nucleotides) under uncultured bacterium. Its description in RNAcentral is "partial 16S ribosomal RNA". It matches the Rfam family "Bacterial small subunit ribosomal RNA", at positions 509 to 807 of the family's 1533-position model. The record is from RNAcentral.